RNAcentral lists this ribosomal RNA (253 nucleotides) under uncultured bacterium. RNAcentral's name for it is "partial 16S ribosomal RNA". It matches the Rfam family "Bacterial small subunit ribosomal RNA", at positions 524 to 776 of the family's 1533-position model. The record is from RNAcentral.
UACAGAGGGUGCAAGCGUUGUCCGGAUUUAUUGGGCGUAAAGAGCGUGUAGGCGGCUUGGUAGGUCCGCUGUGAAAACUCGAGGCUCAACCUCGAGAUGUCGGCGGAAACCACUUGGCUAGAGUCCGGAAGAGGAGAGUGGAAUUCCUGGUGUAGCGGUGAAAUGCGCAGAUAUCAGGAAGAACACCUAUGGCGAAGGCAGCUCUCUGGGACGGUACUGACGCUGAGACGCGAAAGCGUGGGGAGCGAACAGG